CAACAAGCUUUGAUCCGGCAAUAUCCGAAUGGGGAAACCCACUGCUUCGGCAGUAUCUUGCAGUGAAUUCAUAGCUGCUUGAAGCGAACCCGGUGAACUGAAAUAUCUAAGUAACCGGAGGAAAAGAAAUCAACCGAGAUUCCCUGAGUAGUGACGAGCGAACGGGGAACAGCCCUUAAGCUGGAAUGGCUUUAGAAAAACAAUCUGGAAAGAUUGGCCAUAGAAGGUGAUAGCCCUGUAUUUAAAAGGGCCACUCCAGUGAAGACGAGUAGGGCGGGGCACGUGAAACCCUGUCUGAAUAUGGGGGGACCAUCCUCCAAGGCUAAAUACUCCUGACCGACCGAUAGUGAACCAGUACCGUGAGGGAAAGGCGAAAAGAACCCCGGAGAGGGGAGUGAAAUAGAUCCUGAAACCGUGUGCGUACAAGCAGUAGGAGCUCGCAAGAGUGACUGCGUACCUUUUGUAUAAUGGGUCAGCGACUUACUGUUCGUGGCAAGCUUAACCGUAUAGGGGAGGCGAAGGGAAACCGAGUCUGAUAAGGGCGCAUAGUCGCGGGCAGUAGACCCGAAACCGGGUGAUCUAGUCAUGGCCAGGGUGAAGGUGCCGUAACAGGUACUGGAGGCCCGAACCCACGUCUGUUGCAAAAGACGGGGAUGAGCUGUGAUUAGGAGUGAAAAGCUAAUCGAACCCGGAGAUAGCUGGUUCUCCUCGAAAGCUAUUUAGGUAGCGCCUCGGACGAAUACUACUGGG
This 750-nucleotide ribosomal RNA is filed under the name Listeria monocytogenes. Its description in RNAcentral is "partial 23S ribosomal RNA". It matches the Rfam family "Bacterial large subunit ribosomal RNA", at positions 90 to 900 of the family's 2925-position model. The record is from RNAcentral. Lineage: Bacteria; Bacillati; Bacillota; Bacilli; Caryophanales; Listeriaceae.